GGCCAGCUAUAUAAAGAGGGCAGUUAUCUGCUAGCAAGGGAGGCAGCAACAUCAGUUAACUGAGCUUCUGUGUGGGGACCUGGAGGUGAAAGCUCCUGCUGGGCUGGGUGUAGCAGGUGAUUGGAAUGGGUGGACUGCCCAGAGACACGGGAAGAUUGGAGGCAGAGACAUGACUGGGAAGGCUUACCUCAUUGGUCAUCGUCCUCUUGAUGGCUGGGACUGCAAUAGACUGAAGAUGAAAUGUUACAGAUCUCUGCAGGGAAUAAACCUUGUAAGAAGCUGCUGAUGGCCCUCUCUCUCUACUUACCUACUAACCUCAUGAUCCCAGCUGCUCUCACAGCAUUUCCAAGCCAGAAAGCAGGACCAGAACCUAAGACUUCCAGCCCUAGUCAGCAGGUCCUUGAGCUCUGUUCAGGUGAAGUCAGAUGAAGCUCAGAUUGCAGAGAAUUCAUUCAAACCCUGCCUUCAAACUCUCAGUUUCCCCAUUCAUCACCUGUAAACACAUACACAUUCAUGCAUAUGCCUGCAUGGGGGGGAGAGAUGCUUGUGGCCCUUCUAAAACAGAAAGUUGCUUUACCUGGGUGCCUGUACAUGUCACAGGGUUUAGUCCUUAUUAAAGUAAAUAGGUUUAUAAAAUUUAAAAUUGUUUGACCCUUUUAUGUAAAGAAAAGAACAAGAUCACUCUG
Long non-coding RNA from Alligator mississippiensis (American alligator), 686 nucleotides. RefSeq lists it as uncharacterized. The transcript has 3 exons. NCBI's taxonomy places the organism in Eukaryota, Metazoa, Chordata, Crocodylia, Alligatoridae. The record is from RefSeq and is a predicted model, not a curated record.